RNAcentral lists this transfer RNA (54 nucleotides) under Convolvulus scoparius. RNAcentral's name for it is "partial tRNA-His". It matches the Rfam family "tRNA", at positions 1 to 49 of the family's 71-position model. Rfam says of the family: Transfer RNA (tRNA) molecules are approximately 80 nucleotides in length. Their secondary structure includes four short double-helical elements and three loops (D, anti-codon, and T loops). Further hydrogen bonds mediate the characteristic L-shaped molecular structure. tRNAs have two regions of fundamental functional importance: the anti-codon, which is responsible for specific mRNA codon recognition, and the 3' end, to which the tRNAs corresponding amino acid is attached (by aminoacyl-tRNA synthetases). tRNAs cope with the degeneracy of the genetic code in two manners: having more than one tRNA (with a specific anti-codon) for a particular amino acid; and 'wobble' base-pairing, i.e. permitting non-standard base-pairing at the 3rd anti-codon position. Lineage: Eukaryota; Viridiplantae; Streptophyta; Magnoliopsida; Solanales; Convolvulaceae. The record is from RNAcentral.
GGGCGGAUGUAGCCAAGUGGAUUAAGGCGGUGGAUUGUGAAUCCACCAUGCGCG